This 164-nucleotide ribosomal RNA is filed under the name Pseudoroegneria tauri. RNAcentral's name for it is "Elymus tauri 5.8S ribosomal RNA". It matches the Rfam family "5.8S ribosomal RNA". Rfam says of the family: 5.8S ribosomal RNA (5.8S rRNA) is a component of the large subunit of the eukaryotic ribosome. It is transcribed by RNA polymerase I as part of the 45S precursor that also contains 18S and 28S rRNA. Lineage: Eukaryota; Viridiplantae; Streptophyta; Magnoliopsida; Poales; Poaceae. The record is from RNAcentral.
CACACGACUCUCGGCAACGGAUAUCUCGGCUCUCGCAUCGAUGAAGAACGUAGCGAAAUGCGAUACCUGGUGUGAAUUGCAGAAUCCCGCGAACCAUCGAGUCUUUGAACGCAAGUUGCGCCCGAGGCCACUCGGCCGGGGGCACGCCUGCCUGGGCGUCACGC